AACUCUCUGCGGACGCGCCCCGGCCCGGCGUCCGCGCAUUGUGUGUUCGUAACAACGGCCGUCAAACUCGCGAAGCGCCUUAGUUUUGUCAUUUGACAGCUUGGGCGACAGGAGGGGACCGGAGGACAGCUGCCGACGGACCGGGGCCGCCCCACGCAGACGAAGGCCCUGCGGCUCGCCGCGCCCCGCCGCUCCCCGGAUCUCAGGCGCGCUGGUCUUCGUAAGCCCAGCCUAGCGCGCGCUGAGCCCUUGGAGCGCUUGUUCUAAUCCUCAGGGUGGAAACGGGCGCGUGAGAGGCUCCGGAUUUCUCACCGUGAAACCGAGUGGGAGGCACCUAUGAGACUGGCCAAAGAACCUAGAAGGGAAGAAAAGUUUUCCAUCUGUACAGUCUGGAGCCCAACAUGGAUCCCUCCACGGGCUGGACACCACUGGCUCUGGGGCUGCUGCAGCUGAGAGAUCCUGGGGCCUCCAAGAAGAAUGGCAGAAGAUCUCCAACACAGCAUCACAUCUGUGAAGGGCCUUGCCUGACAACCCCAUCUAUGACCCACUCCAGUUAUUCUUCGCUUUCUUCUGCUUGUCUGACACAGCACUCAUCCCCACCUGACAGGACACUGCCCUCUGCGAGUGUCUGUUCACUGUCUCCAUAAGUUCCAAAGAGGCGGUUUUGUUCACUGCUGAAUUCCCAGUGCCAAAACAGUGCCUGCCACAUAGUAAGUGCUAAAUAACUACUUGUUUAAUAAAGUAAUGAAUGGUUUAAAAGGGGAAAAUGUUCCAUCUACCUCAAAUCUUUAAAGACUCCAAAAAAAAUCUAACUAGACAUGAAUUACUUUAACCAGCAUCUUUAAUUUAGAAACCAAUUCAUUUGUACAAAAGUUGAAUAUAUCAUCUUUCCUAAAAGUCAACUGAAAAAACUUUCAAAAUUUUACUACAUAUAACAAAAUCAGUAACGAGGACAGACUUUCCUUAAAUAGGGAUCUUUUUAAAAACGAAAUAGGCCCCAAACCUACCUCCAGUAAAAAACUCUUACCUUAAGAAGACCAAAUACUAAUCAGGAUAUGUGACCAGAAUAAGGAAUUUCUAAUACUAAGGUAUCAUUUGACCUGAGUCAAAUUUAAUCACAUUUCCUCACUAGUCAGAGAAUUAGAUGGGAUGGAACAAGAAAUAACUAGGCACAAUAUCAGGACCAAGGUAACCCACUGGUGGCUGUCAGAGGCCCCUGUUUUGAUGCGCGGCUCCCUGGACCCACUCUGACUGCCCGGAGGGAAUUCUCUCUCUACUGAAACCUUUCCAUGGGGAGCUCAUCCCAAACUGUGAUUUGAAGAUUUACUGAAGGGGGUAAGAUGUUCUUCCUAAUGGAACAAUAUAGAAUACAACAUUCAAAAGCUUUAAUCUUGAAAAUUAUAUACAUAUACUUUUAAAUAGUGAAACUACAUUCUAGUUACAAGACAAAAUUAUGGUUGCAGUUACUCUAGAGUCCAGAAAAAAGAAGAAAGGAAAAUUUAAAUGUUUUCCAAGUGUUUCUCCAUCAUUGCCAGGGUACCCACGUAACCAGCUCACAAAAAGUCAUGUGAUAGAAAGAGGACAGACAUAACCCAACUGCAAAUUACUAAACUGGCUUUCAGAUUAUAAAUCGAUUCUGAAUAAGGCUACAAUAUAUGAUUCCUUUGCCUUGAAAUCUAAUCACUCUUUGGUAAACGAAUAUUGCUGGGGUACUAAAACUGUACAAAUAAGGCAUUGGACUGAAGAGCAUAGGAUCCAAGUGGACUGGAAGGCGUUACCUGGAAUGAUCUGCUCACACACCCCCUAAGUACCACUCUCACCUUGUGUGUGAGAACACUGAGGCCUAGUGUGACACACAAGGACACAACAGACAACAAGCAACAGAACUAUAAGGCCUAGCUUCCUGCCUCCACGUGGUCUCCAACCUCUAAUCUUCUAGGCUGUUUUCCCAUUUAAGUGUAGUUUGCUAUUUCAUCUGAAUAUUCAUGAAUAUUUUUAUUUUCUAAUGCAUGAAGAUCUGCCUUAAGCAAGAACCUCAUAAGCCCCACAAAAGAGAAGUGGCUCAUUUUUCAAUUUCUCACACAGCUAUAGCUAACAGGUGGAUCACUGCUUCUACUAGUUUUCCAAAUAUGAAACGAACCCACAAUCAAGAAACAUGAAUGGUGUUGGAGAAGAUAUGAAAAAAUAGGUUCCCUUGUGCAUUGCUGAUGGGGAUGUAAAAUGGCACAGUCACUGUAAAAAACAGUUUGGGGGUUCUUCCAAAAGUUACACAUAGAACUACCAUAUGACCCAGCAAUUAUAGGUAUCUAAGAGAAAUGAAAAAUACAUCUACACAGAAAUUUGUACACAAAUGCUAAAAGCAGCAUUAUUUAUAAUAAUAGUCAAAAGGUGGGAACAACCAAAAUGCCCACCAAUGGUGAAUGGGUAACAGACGCUGGCAUGGCCACAUGAUGGAGGGUCAUGCAGCCACAAGAGGGAGUGAGGGGCUGAUGCAGGCUACAACUUGGAUGGACCUUGAAAUCAUUACGCCAAGUGAAGGAAGCAGACACAAAAGGUGACGUUGCAUGAUUUCUUUUAUAUGAAAUCUCCAGAACAGGCAAAUCCAGACAAAGAAAGCAGUCAAGUAAGUAGUCAGAGGAUUGGGGGGAUAGGGGAUGGAAUGAGAGUUCUGAAAGCAGAAAGUUUACCCAGCACUGUGAAUAUAUUAAAUACCACUGAAAUGUACACUUUAAAAUAGUUAAUUAUAUGUUAUGUGAAUUUUACCUCAACUUAAAAAAAAGAAGAGAAAAAAGAAAGAUAAAAUGCA
This is a long non-coding RNA of Manis pentadactyla (Chinese pangolin), 2806 nucleotides long. RefSeq lists it as uncharacterized. The record is from RefSeq and is a predicted model, not a curated record. Lineage: Eukaryota; Metazoa; Chordata; Mammalia; Pholidota; Manidae. The transcript is spliced from 3 exons.